RNAcentral lists this ribosomal RNA (390 nucleotides) under uncultured bacterium. RNAcentral's name for it is "bacterial SSU rRNA". It matches the Rfam family "Bacterial small subunit ribosomal RNA", at positions 362 to 762 of the family's 1533-position model. The record is from RNAcentral.
UCUUGCGCAAUGCACGAAAGUGUGACGCAGCAACGCCGCGUGGGGGAAGAAGGCUCUCGGGUCGUAAACCCCUUUCAGUUGGGACGAAGCUUCGUCGGUUAAUAGCCGGCUGGAGUGACGGUACCUUCACAAGAAGCACCGGCUAACUACGUGCCAGCAGCCGCGGUAAUACGUAGGGUGCAAGCGUUGUCCGGAAUCAUUGGGCGUAAAGAGCGUGUAGGCGGCCCGAUUAGUCCGCUGUAAAGUCCAGGGCUCAACCCUGAAUGCCGGUGAUACUGUCGGGCUCAGUCCGAAGGGGCGAGUGAAUUCCUGGUGAGCGGUAAAUGCGCAGUUCAGAAGACACCAACGGCGAGGAGCUCGCUGGGCGUCUGCGUGAGCCAGAUAGAUCUU